This 305-nucleotide ribosomal RNA is filed under the name uncultured bacterium. Its description in RNAcentral is "bacterial SSU rRNA". It matches the Rfam family "Bacterial small subunit ribosomal RNA", at positions 338 to 660 of the family's 1533-position model. The record is from RNAcentral.
CCUACGGGAGGCAGCAGUCGGGAAUAUUGCGCAAUGGAGGAAACUCUGACGCAGUGACGCCGCGUGCAGGAAGAAGGUUUUCGGACUGUAAACUGCUUUAGACAGGGAAGAAACAAGACAGUACCUGUAGAAUAAGCUCCGGCUAACUACGUGCCAGCAGCCGCGGUAAUACGUAGGGAGCAAGCGUUAUCCGGAUUUAUUGGGUUUAAAGGGUGCGUAGGCGGGCUGUUAAGUCAGCGGUAAAAGCCCGGGGCUCAACCCCGGCGAGCCGUUGAAACUGGCUGUCUUGAGAUGUCGAGAGGUAU